UGCCAGCAGCCGCGGUAAUACGGAGGGGGUUAGCGUUGUUCGGAAUUACUGGGCGUAAAGCGUACGUAGGCGGACUAGUCAGUCAGAGGUGAAAUCCCAGGGCUCAACCCUGGAACUGCCUUUGAUACUGCUAGUCUUGAGUUCGAGAGAGGUGAGUGGAAUUCCAAGUGUAGAGGUGAAAUUCGUAGAUAUUUGGAGGAACACCAGUGGCGAAGGCGGCCAUCUGGCACGAUACUGACGCUGAGGCACGAAAGCUAGGGGAGCGAACGGGAUUAGAUA
RNAcentral lists this ribosomal RNA (279 nucleotides) under uncultured bacterium. RNAcentral's name for it is "partial 16S ribosomal RNA". It matches the Rfam family "Bacterial small subunit ribosomal RNA", at positions 506 to 784 of the family's 1533-position model. The record is from RNAcentral.